UGGGGAAUUUUGGACAAUGGGCGCAAGCCUGAUCCAGCCAUGCCGCGUGAGUGAAGAAGGCCUUCGGGUUGUAAAGCUCUUUUGUCAGGGAGCAAAGCUUACUCAAUAACACUGGGUGAGGAUGAGAGUACCUGAAGAAUAAGCACCGGCUAACUACGUGCCAGCAGCCGCGGUAAUACGUAGGGUGCGAGCGUUAAUCGGAAUUACUGGGCGUAAAGCGUGCGCAGGUGGUUUUGUAAGCCAGAUGUGAAAUCCCCGGGCUCAACCUGGGAAUGGCAUUUGGGACUGCAAGGCUAGAGUGUGGCAGAGGGGGGUGGAAUUCCGCGUGUAGCAGUGAAAUGCGUAGAGAUGCGGAGGAACACCGAUGGCGAAGGCAGCCCCCUGGGUUGACACUGACACUCAUGCACGAAAGCGUGGGGAGCAAACAGG
This 429-nucleotide ribosomal RNA is filed under the name uncultured bacterium. RNAcentral's name for it is "bacterial SSU rRNA". It matches the Rfam family "Bacterial small subunit ribosomal RNA", at positions 355 to 776 of the family's 1533-position model. The record is from RNAcentral.